This 487-nucleotide ribosomal RNA is filed under the name uncultured bacterium. RNAcentral describes it as "bacterial SSU rRNA". It matches the Rfam family "Bacterial small subunit ribosomal RNA", at positions 28 to 507 of the family's 1533-position model. The record is from RNAcentral.
GAUGAACGCUAGCUACAGGCUUAACACAUGCAAGUCGAGGGGCAGCAUGUCGGUUGCUUGCAACCGAUGAUGGCGACCGGCGCACGGGUGAGUAACACGUAUGCGACCUGCCCCCUACAGGGGUAUAACCCGUAGAAAUGCGGACUAAUCCCCCAUAGUCCUGGGUGCUGCAUGGCAUUCAGGGGAAAGGGUUUCCGGUAGGGGAUGGGCAUGCGGCGCAUUAGCUAGUUGGCGGGGCAACGGCCCACCAAGGCGACGAUGCGUAGGGGUUCUGAGAGGAAGGUCCCCCACAUUGGAACUGAGACACGGUCCAAACUCCUACGGGAGGCAGCAGUGAGGAAUAUUGGUCAAUGGGCGGGAGCCUGAACCAGCCAAGUAGCGUGAGGGAAGACUGCCCUACGGGUUGUAAACCUCUUUUGUCGGGGAACAAAGGCGCCACGCGUGGUGUAUAGAGUGUACCCGAAGAAAAGCAUCGGCUAACUCCGUG